Molecule: ribosomal RNA, 1060 nt
Filed under: uncultured fungus
Lineage: Eukaryota; Fungi
Description: eukaryotic LSU rRNA
Rfam family: Eukaryotic large subunit ribosomal RNA (bases 371-1060)
Source: RNAcentral
UACAACUUUCAGCAACGGAUCUCUUGGCUCUCGCAUCGAUGAAGAACGCAGCGAAAUGCGAUAAGUAAUGUGAAUUGCAGAAUUCAGUGAAUCAUCGAAUCUUUGAACGCACCUUGCGCUCCUUGGUAUUCCGAGGAGCAUGCCUGUUUGAGUGUCAUUAAUAUAUCAACCUCUUCAGCUUUGUUGCAUGUUGAGUGUUGGAUGUGGGGGUAUUUUUGCUGGACUCUAGAAUCUGAGGUCAGCUCCCCUAAAAUGUAUCAGCGAAACAAUUUGUUUACCGCUCAUUGGUGUGAUAACUAUCUACGCUAUUGACGGUGAAAGCACGUUUAGCUCCUAACAGUCCAUUAGCUUGGACAACCUCUUAUUAAUGUGACCUCAAAUCAGGUAGGACUACCCGCUGAACUUAAGCAUAUCAAUAAGCGGAGGAAAAGAAACUAACAAGGAUUCCCCUAGUAACUGCGAGUGAAGCGGGAAAAGCUCAAAUUUAAAAUCUGGCAGUCUUUGGCUGUCCGAGUUGUAAUCUAGAGAAGUGCUAUCCGCGCUGGACCGUGUACAAGUCUCCUGGAAGGGAGCGUCGUAGAGGGUGAGAAUCCCGUCUUUGACACGGACUACCAAUGCUUUUGUGAUGCGCUCUCGAAGAGUCGAGUUGUUUGGGAAUGCAGCUCAAAAUGGGUGGUAAAUUCCAUCUAAAGCUAAAUAUUGGCGAGAGACCGAUAGCGAACAAGUACCGUGAGGGAAAGAUGAAAAGCACUUUGGAAAGAGAGUUAAACAGUACGUGAAAUUGUUGAAAGGGAAACGUUUGAAGUCAGUCGCGUUGGCCGAGACUCAGCCCAGCUCCCGCUCGGUGCACUUCUCGGUCGACGGGUCAGCAUCAAUUUUGACCGCCGGAUAAAGGUUGGGGGAAUGUGGCAUCUUUCGGGAUGUGUUAUAGCCCUCGAUUCGCAUACGGCGAUUGGGAUUGAGGAACUCAGCGCGCCUUUAUGGUCGGGGUAAUCACCCACGUAACGCGCUCAGGAUGCUGGCAUAAUGGCUUUAAUCGACCCGUCUUGAAACACGGACC